RNAcentral lists this ribosomal RNA (438 nucleotides) under Triticum aestivum (bread wheat). RNAcentral describes it as "partial small subunit ribosomal RNA". Lineage: Eukaryota; Viridiplantae; Streptophyta; Magnoliopsida; Poales; Poaceae. The record is from RNAcentral.
UGUGGACCAAUGAGCACAACUGCCAGAGGUGGCUAUCAGUACGUCGUGACUUUUACCGAUGACUUGAGUAGAUAUGGAUAUGUCUAUUUGAUGAGGCACAAGUCGAAAACUUUUGAGAAGUUCAAAGAGUUUCAGAACGAGGUUGAUAAUCAGCUCGGCAAGACUAUAAAACUUCUACGAUCAGAUCGUGGAGGUGAGUACAUGAGCCAGGAGUUUGAUGAUCAUCUGAAAAGCCGAGGUAUAGUACCUCAGCUCACACCUCCGGGUACGCCACAGAGAAACGGCGUGACGGAACAGAGGAAUAGGACCUUGUUGGACAUGGUCCGGUCUAUGAUGAGCAAAUCGGAUUUACCCUUGUCAUUCUGGGGAUAUGCUCUAGAAACUGCAGCUUUCACACUUAACAGGGUACCAUCAAAAUUCGUAGACAAGACACCACAU